This is an RNA transcript of Aricia agestis (brown argus), 2086 nucleotides long. It is a transcript of the gene named vesicle-associated membrane protein 2-like, with no coding region annotated. The record is from RefSeq and is a predicted model, not a curated record. The transcript is spliced from 8 exons. NCBI's taxonomy places the organism in Eukaryota, Metazoa, Arthropoda, Insecta, Lepidoptera, Lycaenidae.
ACACAGGCGCCCUCUCGCCAUUCAAACUAGGCUCUGUCACGGCAGCUUUUCAUUUCUGCCUGUAUUUUCUUAAAUAUCACAUACUAUACGCUUUCGGGGCUAUUUUUAUGUACGGUGAGCUUCGGAGUUAUUUUUUGAAGUUUUUGACGAGUUUCCUGAGCCCUCUGGACUUCCAUUCAUGGACGCUUUCAUAGUGUGAACGUGUAGGGGUAAAAGUGAAUGAACGUUCUGUGAAUAGUUCUAGAAGAGACUUGUGACAGCAGAAAUGGCGACGGAAGGAGGUCUGGCGCCGGGCGGCGACGACAUGCCGGUGGGCGGGCCGAAGACGCCGCAGCAGAUUGCCGCCCAGCGCCGCCUACAACAGACGCAGGCACAAGUCGAUGAGGUGGUGGAUAUAAUGAAAACCAACGUAGAGAAGGUGCUUGAGAGGGAUCAAAAGCUGUCCGAGCUGGACGAUAGAGCAGAUGCACUACAACAAGGCGCCUCACAGUUUGAGCAGCAGGCCGGCAAGUUGAAAAGCAAGUUUUGGUUGCAAAAUUUAAAGAUGAUGAUAAUUGCAGCGGUCAUUGGAAUCAUCAUUUUGGCGCUUAUCAUCGCCAACUUUGUGUGAACAAGUUUCGGUAACCGAAGUUAUAUUUAGCAGUAAAUAAUAAUAGUUACAAAAUACGUUUUUAAACACCAUCAAAAUGAGUGGAGCCGAGGUACCUAUUUCAACAGAAACCAUCAGCGCCAUGAUUUUAAAGUUUUAUUAGAUUUAGUGUUGUUGAAUGUAUUUUAUCGAUAAUAUUUCAGACACUACGUAUUGCAUUUCUUAUCAAUGUUUUAACACACGUCCUAUAAUCCUUUAGUCACUAUCUGCUGUACCUAAAACGAAAAUUAGUGUAUUUUUAGAAGAUCUUUCUUUAUAACUGAAAUAUAUUCUUACAAAACAAAAAUGCUAUUUGCUAUACAUUUUAGACAUCUAAGGCUUAUCAAAAUACCUAACCAUAUCUCAAUCUUUGAAUUGUGUUCAGAAGAAGACGUAUAAAUAUUUAUUGAUUUAUUUUCUCCGUUUGGACCAAACGUCUUAAAAUGUUAGUAUCUGUUUAUUUUUAUACUCAGUGUAUUUUGUAUUCUGUCGUCUAGGGAGGGCUGUUAAUACAUGUCGUACAAUUUUCUGAUUCGUUUAUAUUAAAAAAUAUAGUCCCCGCUUUAAACCCGACAUGGCUCCCGUAGCCCGACGCAGCCUAUACAGUCUGUUGAUUUUGAUAAUAUAGUAUGUACUUCGUUUGUACUAUCGCUUAUAUUUUUGUAUAGAGAAUACCUUUUAGAUGUUGAAUAGGUACAUAGGUUAUUUGUAACGCUGGUUUUGUAAUAGAUGUUAUUAAUGAAAAGGAAAAUUCAUCCAAAAUUUCGAUAAUCAACAUUUUAACUCUUCUAGUUUAUUUUUUUUUUUAAUUACACUGAUGGUUAAAAAUUAACAACUUUGCGGGUUUUGUCCUGUUUGAACAAAUUUUAUCGAUGAAUUUCAGUGUAUAUAAUAGCAUCAAAGUGUUAGGACCAUCUUUAAAUUGAACUUUUGUAUAAAUUUUCCAUUUAUGUGAAACACUUAGAGUUUUUCUUAUAACGAAUAUUAAAUGUAUUACAUAACGAAUUUGCUACGUUAUAUUAUUGAUAGAAUUUGAAAUUGAUAUCUGUAUUUAGAAAAUAUUUAUAUGUGUGUAAAAUUGUAACCGAAGCUUGUAUUAGCCGAUGUACACCGCUUUUGUAGAGAUAAUCUAUCUACAAGAUAAGAUAUUAUCAUAAGUAGAAAUAGUACGAAAUAUAUAGUUGUUUAAUAGUACUGAACAUCUUAAACUAUUUAAUCAGAGUCACAAAUAAUGUACUGGAAAAAUUAUCGAUGCAAGAUGUCCGCAUCACUAUGGACUUGAUAUUUUAUUGACUUUACGGAUUAUUAUUACUAUGCAUGAUAGUUUCUUAUCUUUCACUUUAGUUAAUAUUGAUUAAAAUUAAAAUUAAUUCAUUAAUAGAGUUAUGUAGAGUAUGUUAUUGUUGAAUUUUUAGACAUAGAAUGUUACUAUAUUUAAAUGUGUGAGAUAUUUAGCUA